GGUGAGAGUGGCGAACGGCUGAGUAACACGUGGGUGACCUACCCUACGGACCGGGAUAACCCUGCGAAAGCAGGGCUAAUACUGGAUACAACGUGCGUUAACACGUGCGUGGAAAGCUUUUGCGCCGAAGGAGGGGCCCGCGGCCUAUUAGCUUGUUGGUAGGGUAAUGGCCUACCAAGGCGAUGAUGGGUAGCUGGUCUGAGAGGACGGUCAGCCAGACUGGGACUGAGACACGGCCCAGACUCCUACGGGAGGCAGCAGUUCAGAAUCUUGCGCAAUGGGCGAAAGCCUGACGCAGCGAUGCCGCGUGCGGGAAGACGGCCUUCGGGUUGUAAACCGCUGUUAGGGGGAACGAAUUCUGACGGUACCCCCAGAGGAAGCCUCGGCUAACUACGUGCCAGCAGCCGCGGUAAAACGUAGGAGGCAAGCGUUAUCCGGAAUCACUGGGCGUAAAGCGUUCGUAGGCGGCUUCAUAAGUCGGAGGUGAAAUCCCCGGGCUCAACUCGGGAAUUGCCUUCGAAACUGUGAGGCUAGAGCACGUCAGAGGGUGAUGGAAUUCCCGGUGUAGCGGUAAAAUGCAUAGAUAUCGGGAGGAACACCAGUGGCGAAGGCGGUCACCUGGGGCGUUGCUGACGCUGAGGAACGAGAGCUAGGGGAGCGAACGGGAUUAGAUACCCCGGUAGUCCUAGCUGUAAACGAUGGGCACUAGGUGCUGGGAGAUUCGACCCUUUCAGUGCCGAAGCUAACGCAUUAAGUGCCCCGCCUGGGGACUACGGCCGCAAGGUUAAAACUCAAAGGAAUUGACGGGGGCCCGCACAAGCGGUGGAGCAUGUGGUUUAAUUCGAUGCUACGCGAAGAACCUUACCUGGGCUUGACAUUCCGCUGAAAUCCCGCGGAAACGCGGGACCUCCUUCGGGACAGCGGUGACAGGUGGUGCAUGGCUGUCGUCAGCUCGUGCCGUGAGGUGUUGGAUUAAGUUCCGCAACGAGCGCAACCCUCGCCGCUAGUUGCCAUCAUUAAGUUGGGAACUCUAGCGGGACUGCCGGCGUCAAGCCGGAGGAAGGUGGGGAUGACGUCAAGUCAUCAUGCCCCUUACGCCCAGGGCAACACACGUGCUACAAUGGCCGGUACAACGGGUUGCCACGUGGCAACACGGAGCGAAUCCCUAAAAGCCGGCCUCAGUUCGGAUCGAAGGCUGCAACUCGCCUUCGUGAAGUCGGAAUCGCUAGUAACCGCAGAUCAGCAUGCUGCGGUGAAUACGUUCUCGGGCCUUGUACACACCGCCCGUCACACCACGAAAGUCGGCAACA
Molecule: ribosomal RNA, 1310 nt
Filed under: uncultured bacterium
Lineage: Bacteria
Description: bacterial SSU rRNA
Rfam family: Bacterial small subunit ribosomal RNA
Source: RNAcentral